GCGUUAACGAACGAGACCUUAACCUGCUAAAUAGCCCGUAUUGCUUUGGCAGUACGCUGGCUUCUUAGAGGGACUAUCGGCUCAAGCCGAUGGAAGUUUGAGGCAAUAACAGGUCUGUGAUGCCCUUAGAUGUUCUGGGCCGCACGCGCGCUACACUGACGAAGGCAACGAGUUUAUAACCUGCCUCGAGAGAGAUGGGUAAUCUUCUGAAGCUUCGUCGUGAUGGGGAUAGAUCUUUGUAAUUAUCGAUCUUCAACGAGGAAUUCCUAGUAAGCGCGACUCAUCAGGUCGCGUUGAUUACGUCCCUGCCCUUUGUACACACCGCCCGUCGCUAGUACCGAUUGAAUGGAUCA
This 353-nucleotide ribosomal RNA is filed under the name Eukaryota sp. Its description in RNAcentral is "SSU rRNA". It matches the Rfam family "Eukaryotic small subunit ribosomal RNA", at positions 1325 to 1700 of the family's 1831-position model. The record is from RNAcentral.